RNAcentral lists this ribosomal RNA (119 nucleotides) under Pteropus alecto (black flying fox). The record is from RNAcentral. Lineage: Eukaryota; Metazoa; Chordata; Mammalia; Chiroptera; Pteropodidae.
GUCUACAGCCAUUUCACCCUUAACGUGCCCGAUCUCGUCUGAUCUCUGAAGCUAAACAGGGUCGGGCCUGGUUAGUACUUGGAUGGGAGACCACAUAGGAAGACCAGGUGCUGUAGGCG